GAUGAACGCUAGCGGGAGGCCUAACACAUGCAAGCCGAGCGGUAGAGUCUCUUCGGAGACUUGAGAGCGGCGCACGGGUGCGGAACACGUGUGCAACCUGCCUUUAUCUGGGGGAUAGCCUUUCGAAGGGAAGAUUAAUACCCCAUAAUAUACUGGACGGCAUCAUCUGGUAUUGAAAACUCCGGUGGAUAGAGAUGGGCACGCGCAAGAUUAGAUAGUUGGUGAGGUAACGGCUCACCAAGUCAGCGAUCUUUAGGGGGCCUGAGAGGGUGAUCCCCCACACUGGUACUGAGACACGGACCAGACUCCUACGGGAGGCAGCAGUGAGGAAUAUUGGACAAUGGGUGAGAGCCUGAUCCAGCCAUCCCGCGUGAAGGACGACGGCCCUAUGGGUUGUAAACUUCUUUUGUAUAGGGAUAAACCUAGAUACGUGUAUCUAGCUGAAGGUACUAUACGAAUAAGCACCGGCUAACUCCGUG
RNAcentral lists this ribosomal RNA (479 nucleotides) under uncultured bacterium. RNAcentral's name for it is "partial 16S ribosomal RNA". It matches the Rfam family "Bacterial small subunit ribosomal RNA", at positions 28 to 507 of the family's 1533-position model. The record is from RNAcentral.